UUUAAUUAGUUUAAAAGUGACGGGCGAUAUGUGCAUAAAUUAUUGCAUUUUCAAAUUAAAAUUUUCUUUUUUUAUUUUAAUUUUAGAUCCUAAUUCAUUAUUAUUUUCCUUUUAUACUUCCUUUUGUGAAUUAAUUGUAUUCCAUGGGUAACUAUAAUAUUAACCUUUGUCUUGAUUUGUAAUUUUUUACUUUUAAAUUUAAAAUUUUUUUAUUUUUAUAAAAUUUUAUACAAUGAUAUAAAAGGUUAAAUUUUUAGUUCAUUUAAUUGUGGGUUGUCAAUUAAUUCACAGAAUCCUCUAUUUAGUUAAUUUACCGCCAUAUUAUUUAGUUUUUUCUUUUUUAGGUACUCUCUUUUUAAUUUUUAAAA
This 368-nucleotide ribosomal RNA is filed under the name Diptilomiopus sp. FJ22. RNAcentral's name for it is "partial small subunit ribosomal RNA". The record is from RNAcentral. Lineage: Eukaryota; Metazoa; Arthropoda; Arachnida; Trombidiformes; Diptilomiopidae.